UCUGAUUUGCUGAAUUCAGAAAGCCAAUUUAACAUUGUGGAUUCAACAUUUAAUUCUGCAAUACCACCUUUUACAAGUGUGAUGCUGACAGACCACUCAGUUUGGAGCCAGACCAUUUCACUUGUGUGUGAAUAGCAAAGAAAUGAUAUAAGUCUUUGAACAAUGCCACUCAGAUGAGAGAAAAAAUGUCUGAAAAAUUUCCUGGCCAUUGACCUGAGAUGUGUCAUCCAGUUUCAGGUCCCUACACCUUUGGGACAUGACAUAUCCGAUAACCUGGAAAGUUCACAAGGCUAAAUUCUACAGCCAGACAAGAACUAUAAGGUUUGAGCCUGAUCAAUGCAUCUUGAAAUGUCAACAGUGUCUUUAUUGUAUUCUAGGCAUAGGUUAAGCAGGUGCUGAUCUGGAAAUCAGACAGUAGUGUUGGAACUCACUUCUCCAUUAAUGCACCUGCAGGAAUGGUAUUUGCAACAUAGGAAUUGCCAUACUGGAUCAGACCCAAUGUCCACCUAGUCCAGGAUCCUGUCUUAGACAAUGGCCAGUUUCAGAUGCCUCAGAGAAAGGCGUAAGAACCUCACAGUAGUCAGCACUGAUUACAUUUUAGCGUUUCUUUCUAAAGUUCUUAGCCAGGACAUAAUUAAGAAUUUUAAAUAUUUCAGUACUUAAGUAUUUUGUUUAUCAUUAAUGGGUCAGAUUAUCCUUUCAGCUGCAGCAGCUCAAUUCUGUUAUUUCAUUGGAAUUCCACUUUUUUAUUAAAUACAUAUUUAACCACUAUGGCUAUUAAUGGCUUAUUGAUAGCAAGCUGAGAUAUUGGCUAGAUAUAAAAUUAAUGCUCUAUUUGCUCUUUAAACCCUUCUCAGAUGAUGCUAAAUUAGAAGGGUAAAAGCACCGAGCUGCCUGAAUGCCAUCUUCUUUGAUCCUUUGCAUUUAUUUUCUUCUUUCUCUGGAGAAGUGGAUGUAGAUAUAAUUUAAAUCACUGCACCACUAAUCCGUUUAUAUUAUAUUCUGAUAUAAUAUAAUCAGUUGGAUUCUGCUAGGAAUACACAUCUUCCAUGUAGUAUUUUAUAAGCGUGAGGAAGUGUUAUGAUUUUUGUUUCAAUAUAUAUUGAUGAGUAAUUGGGUGCUUUUUAAUUUCAUUCAGGUCAAAAACCAUAUUUUUGCUUUUGAUAUGUGAAAAAGGAAAACAUUUAUUAAAAUACAGACAUUGAAAUUAAAACGCCACAAUUAGUCUCCCAUUUUUCUUCUGCAUGUGUUUCUUUUGUCCAUUUGUGGACUUGAAAGAAUGCUUGUUUUACAUCAGUGGCAAUAUACAAAUUUUAUCUUGAGUUAAUUGGUGUCAUUUUCCAAGCCCUGUUCCUUUUUCAGAUCUCUUCAUUCCUCCUCUAGCCAUAGUCUGCCUUUGCACAGCCUGUCCCCUCAUCAAAAUGCUUUUGUGUCUGCUCAUAGCCCUGUACCUACAGCAUACUCCCUCUUAGAUCAUGGUAUUGUGUAUUGCCUCAGCAACCUCUUCUGUAUGCACUACCCAUCUCUGCACAAAGGCCUUUGCUCUCUCUGUACCCCUUUCUCUCUCAUCUUUUGUUGAAGCCUACAUUCAUAUCCAAAGUAUCUUCUACCCAGCCUUUUAUGUGGUGUGCUUUAAACCCUUUUAUUCCUUUGAUGAACAUUCUCAGCUACCCAUUCUCUCCCUUACAGGGAGGUGGAUCUUCCUCAAAGUUAUUAUGCAGCAAGAAGAGACUAGGCCCCAUUAUUUGAAUGUCUUUUUGAUUUCACACGUCGUUUAAAUUAAUUGAAUAUAUGUGUAACCAAUGAUUGUCCAUUAAAGUAGCGACACUGAUCAGUGCUUUUCAGUAGGGAAGAGAAAUUAAAACCACUAUGAGUAAAGACGCAAGAAUCAGGCUUUGUGCUGCUUUCUUUGAAUUAAUAUUAGAUGACAAAUCCCAUAUUAAUAACACAUAGAUACUUCUAUAGCUACCAAGAGUUCAUCGUGACUUACAAUAUUACAAUAAAGUGAAAAGAAAUGAAUGAUUCGAUUAUGAUUUUAAAGCUUUCCUGUUUUUAUGAAAAUCAUUAUAUUAUUUGCAGAGGAAUGUACCAGAAAAAGUGGUUCAGUGACAGAUUUUUUAGUAUUAUAAAGCCCCUUUUAGAAUUAUUAUCGGGGAUAGAGAAAGUAAGGCACAGGGUGCCUUUCAUUUAAAAAAAAUUUUUUUGGUGGUCUAAAAACUAGCCCUUACACAACAUUUUUUGCAUCACAAAACCACUUCAACAAUUUGUCUCCACGGGGAGAGGGGAGGGGGGGGAGGAGUGUGACGGGGUGGUGGUGUUGUUGAAUAUUUGAACAGCAGAGUAUCUGGCUGGGAUAGAAACAACAGCAAUAAAGCUAGUAAGGGGAAGUUUACACAACACCUGCUUAGUCUAUGCCUAGCUACAGCCACUAUAAUUAAUCUUGCACUUUAUAGAGCAAAAAUAUGGGUUUUUUUUAAAGAUAGAUUUUCUACUAUAAACUUAUUUUCUGCAAAAUAAAUGACAGCCUUACAGAGUACCAGCCCAUUAAAACAGCAUUAUGAAAUGUUAAAUGGGUCUGAUUUAAACACACACAGGCAAAUUCUGAUCACAGUUACUUGGGUGUAGCUUCCAUUGACCUUAGUGGGAACUGCACUUCCACCCAUUUAACUAAGUGCAAAAUUUGGCCCAUAAAUAAGGAAAAAAUUCAGAGUAAGGCUGAAACUGACUUCAGCUAAGCCUGUUAGAAUUAAAUAUUCUAGAAAUACAUUUGAGAUUCAUUCCACUAAAUUCUCCUAGGCUUCUAGAGGCAACAGCAGAUCCCAAGGUACCAACUGUUUGAAAACUUUGUUUAGACAUC
Non-coding RNA from Chrysemys picta bellii (western painted turtle), 2857 nucleotides. The record is from RefSeq and is a predicted model, not a curated record. Lineage: Eukaryota; Metazoa; Chordata; Testudines; Emydidae.